UCCCUGGUGGUCCUCUGGUUAGGACUCCUUGCUCUCACUGAUGAGGGCCUAAGUUCAAUUCCUGGUCAGGGAA
RNAcentral lists this transfer RNA (73 nucleotides) under Bos taurus (domestic cattle). It matches the Rfam family "tRNA". From Rfam's summary of the family: Transfer RNA (tRNA) molecules are approximately 80 nucleotides in length. Lineage: Eukaryota; Metazoa; Chordata; Mammalia; Artiodactyla; Bovidae. The record is from Rfam by way of RNAcentral. RNAcentral also lists the same sequence under 5 other names.